AUUGAACGCUGGCGGCAUGCCUUACACAUGCAAGUCGAACGGUAACAGGUUAAGCUGACGAGUGGCGAACGGGUGAGUAAUGUAUCGGAACGUGCCUAGUCGUGGGGGAUAACGUAGCGAAAGCUACGCUAAUACCGCAUACGAUCUCUGGAUGAAAGCGGGGGACCUUCGGGCCUCGCGCGAUUAGAGCGGCCGAUAUCAGAUUGGGUAGUUGGUGGGGUAAAGGCCCACCAAGCCGACGAUCUGUAGCUGGUCUGAGAGGACGACCAGCCACACUGGGACUGAGACACGGCCCAGACUCCUACGGGAGGCAGCAGUGGGGAAUUUUGGACAAUGGGCGCAAGCCUGAUCCAGCAAUGCCGCGUGCAGGAUGAAGGCCUUCGGGUUGUAAACUGCUUUUGUACGGAGCGAAAAGGCUCUCUCUAAUACAGGGGGCUCAUGACGGUACCGUAAGAAUAAGCACCGGCUAACUACGUG
Molecule: ribosomal RNA, 477 nt
Filed under: uncultured bacterium
Lineage: Bacteria
Description: bacterial SSU rRNA
Rfam family: Bacterial small subunit ribosomal RNA
Source: RNAcentral